CUAAGAAGAAGGGAGGUUUAAACUUAUUUCACUCGUGACCACGUGGCUAGCAAGGAAUUAACUUCUCCAAGGAGAGCUUUGUUACCUACCAACGGAUACUUAGAGACUACAGAAAGAAUCUCAACUCCUCUAAUAGUACUUCGUUAGGAAUGAGAUACUUGGGCGCAGGAAUUAACAUUUGCAGCCCUAUCCGUAUUACUCUUCCAAACUCUGCACCACGUUUUGUGCCCCUUUAUUUUCUUCUGUCAAGAACGUUUAAACUUUCCUUUCCAGGCACAGUUCUCUGCAGUUUGCAUAAAAGUUUUAGCAAGUAAGCAACAAAAUUAAGAACCAGAAUCCUGGACAGUAAACCCAAGUGAAGAACUAUAUUCCCAGGCUUGGCAGGUAGAUAUGUAAAUAAUAGUCACUGAGUAGGGCUUUUAUGAAAGCGAUUUAUCCCCUUUUCUCCUUGCCCUCCCUCAUUUCCCAUCUUGGAAUGUGACUGCGAUGACCUGAGCCCUGCAACAAUUUUAUGACUUGAGGAUUGAAUCGAUACACUGAGGAUGGUGGAGGAGGAAGACGGGAAAAGCUGCAGGCCCUCUAACUUUGUAGAGCUGCCUAUCAGCUGCCUGACUCCAUUUAAGUAAGAGAAUAAAAAUCCUAAUUCCUUCAAACUACUGUAGUAACGUCUUUUUAACCAGCAGCUGGCAAGUAAUUCCUGGUGGAUUCAAGGAAAUUUUUAAGCUCUCUGAAAACUGAACCUCCCUUAUUACACGUAAGUCUUCUUUUUACCUCUCU
This 777-nucleotide long non-coding RNA is filed under the name Delphinapterus leucas (beluga whale). Its description in RNAcentral is "lncRNA (ENSDLEG00000013883.1)". The record is from RNAcentral. Lineage: Eukaryota; Metazoa; Chordata; Mammalia; Artiodactyla; Monodontidae.